UCUGCAGCCUGGUCCCUAAGAGGCCAUGGACUGGUACUAGUCUGCCCAGGGAUUGGGGACCGCAGUAGUAGAGGAUCUGGUACACAGCAGACACAAAAUAACUGGGUGGCCCCAUCUGCAGAGGUGAUCACUUGAAGUCAGCAAAAACGUAUUUUCUCCCAAAGUGUGGGACAGCAUAGAAACCAGAUAGGCAGGGAAGUCUUUUCCAAAGGAAUGAAGAGGACCCUUCUCAGACUUCUGUGUCAUCGAUGGUGCUCUCACAGUCCCCAUUCCUUCUCAGAUGGUCUGGGCUGUGCAAUGUGACCCGACUCCCUGGGAUGACACCAACUAUGACCUCUUUUCGAUCAAUGCAAGAAAAAUAGAAUUCCACAAGUUGUUCCUGGGAUGAAACCAUCUUUGAAGAGCUUUUCUGAAUGAGGAGGUUUUAGUCCGUUGAUUUGCAUGCUUCCCAUACUAAAUUGAGGUCCAGAGAGGUUAAGGCACAUGUCCAAUGUCACAGAACAAAAAAGUGAAGGAACCAAGAAGCAAACCCAGGUCUGUCUGACUCCAGAGCUCUUAAGUCUUUGCUGUACUGCUUUGUGUGAAAAUGGAGUCAGUGUCCGGGAAGUUGGAUUCCCACUCUCUCUUCCUGCUGCCGGGAGGAGAAUUGCAGAAUGAACCCACCCUUCUCCUGCAGUGGGAGUGGGAGUGAAUGCCAAGGCUCAGGUCCGCAUGACCCACCAGACCAGGAGGCUCCCCACGUCCUCCACAGGUGGCCCCCUCCAGGUAAGCAUUGAGCUCCCCUCCCCAGCCAGGGAGAGGCUGCGUGCCAGCACCAGGGGUGGCAAAAUGGCUGCUCAUGGAGCAGGGGUCCUCUUCCGCCAUUCCAGCAGGAGAGGAGGCAAAGCCUUAGGCAAAGGCAGCCAAGCCCCUUGUAGCUUUGAUCCUUCCUUUACCCCCUUGGGAAGUGUGGGGGACAGAGAAGACACUUCAGCCUUUUUAACCUCGGCUGCCAGGGAAUGCUUAAAAUUCUUGGAAGAGAAAUUUAAAGGAGCCAACCACCCAGAGCCUCUUUAGCUGUCUAUGUCUAGUUCUGCUUAAUAAGCCAGCGGCAGCGGGGACAAGCUGCUCAUGAAUAGUCCUGCUCCUCAAACGCAACUCAGACUGGCUGUAGCGAGUGGGUGGACUGACAGAGGGAAGCUGCCUUGUGAGCUGAGAGUAGGGCCCAGGAGCCAAGUCAGAGGAGAGCCAGCUGGGGUUAGGAGAUCCGAAGUUCUAACCUGCCACACCCAUUCUGGACACCCUCAAUCCACUGCAGCUUUCCUGGGCCCAGACUGAGGGUUUUUGAUUUCAGGCAAAAGGUGGCGUGCAAAACGAUUUGCUAAGACAGGCGAGAUGCUCAGACUCAGAAGGGCUUGGGCUGGAACCAUCCUGCUCUGUUCCCGAAUGUGCCUUGUUCAACAGAGGGAGCAGCGCACGGCCCACGGUGUGCGGAGCAGGCUACUGCAGGAGGAAGAAACCUUUCUGUGGCUUACUUAGGAAAGAACAUGAAAGGAAGACACUGAGCCCACAGAGACCACUGGAAGUCCCUUUGCAACAUGGAGCAAAUAAAAGGAGCUACAAGGAGAGAGAGUCAAAGAAUAAAAGAAUUUCUACAAGA
Long non-coding RNA from Lemur catta (Ring-tailed lemur), 1639 nucleotides. RefSeq lists it as uncharacterized. The transcript is spliced from 2 exons. Lineage: Eukaryota; Metazoa; Chordata; Mammalia; Primates; Lemuridae. The record is from RefSeq and is a predicted model, not a curated record.